AAUGCAAUAUAGAUGAGAUAGACCAUAACGUGCGAGUCAGAU
RNAcentral lists this unclassified non-coding RNA (42 nucleotides) under Leishmania tarentolae. RNAcentral describes it as "guide RNA". The record is from RNAcentral. Lineage: Eukaryota; Euglenozoa; Kinetoplastea; Trypanosomatida; Trypanosomatidae.